AGAGAGAGAGAGAGAGAGAGAGAGAGAGAGAGAGAGAGAGAGAGAGAGAGAGAGAGAGAGAGAGAGAGAGAGAGAGAGAGAGAGAGAGAGAGAGGGGCCAAGAAAGAAGAGUUGAGGAAGAAAUGGUUGGAUUGAACAUUCAUUCACCGUGACCGCGGUGCGGGCACUCCCGCGACUCCCGGCCGCCACAUCUCCCUCGGCACCCUGCCGCCCGGGCACUGUGACCUUGGGCACCGUGACCUUGGGCACCGUGACCUUGGGCACCGUGACCUUGGGCACCGCGACCACUCCUGUGUCACCCGCGACUCCCGUCAUGUCCCGUGAACAAAUGAAUGAAUGGCCCGGGCCGCGGUUUCAGGAAGAAGAGCAGCAGGGUGAGGUCUCAGUCAGACCUGACAACAUAGAACAGGCCCGGUUCCAGAACAGAAUGCCAUGGGGUGCAUCUGAGAUUGCAAAUAAUUGUGCAUUGUCGUUCACAUUGUAACUGAAAAAAUAAAACAGAUUUUAGCUGAACAAGGAAAGAACACUUUCAAACUUUGAACAUCUUUCUGUAUUUACCAAAGUGAACCACUAAAUGUCAUGGCUACUUGUACUGCCUUUCUCUGUCUUGCAUUUGUCUUGGGCAUCUGUCUUGCCCUGAUUCAUGUCACCCACCGUUUGUUUUUCAUAAUGACUAAGUUGUAAAGUUACACAGUGCAGUGUAUAUUAGUCUUUAUACAACGGGGGGCCUAAAUCCAGCAAUCUGAUUGGUUCCUAACUGUUGUAUAAUGAGCGUAUACAUAACUGCUAUGACGCCCGAUCAUUUUGUGAAAGUUUGCAUAUCACUCCGCGCCUGGAAGUAGAAACAGUUACAAAGUAAAACAUAUGUUGGAUGAUGGAGAGGGUGUAAAUGUUGUUACUCCGGGAGUGAGCAAGGCGAUGGAGAGACUAACGAAAGCUUAGGCACACGGCGAGUGAACUGCUCCAUAGGAUAAAUUGCCGGUGAACCGCUCUAGCGGAGCCUUCUCUCGGAGGGACGCUAAAGUGUGUUGCAUAGCGACCGUCGUGCAUUUGGAAGGCAGCCAGGAGGGACUACUUUUUUGUAUUCUUUAAUAAAACGGCUACUUUGACUUUCUUGGUUUCUAGAGGCUAGGCAGUUAGUUUUCAUUUUCACAGUGGACUGUUGUAGUUUCAUUCAAUGAAUUGAUGCAACUUUACAGUUGUAAGAUUGCACUUUUUUGGUACUCUUUUGAAAAGCUUCCUCUGUAAAAAAGGAAAAUUUAUUAAGUUGUCGCAGAUUCUUUUUGUAAAGUUACAGAAGUGGUACUCAAUGUUUUGUAAGUUUGAGCCAGUUUUAAGGUCUCAAAUUAAACAAGAUGAGAACUUAAAUAAUCCCAGCACUUUAUGGAUGUAUUGUUUAUCAUAGAAAGUAAUAAGAAAUUACUCUUUACAUUAAGGUAGUAGCCUAGUGAGAACAGGGUGUUGGGGGAAUUACUUUUUUCCCCUCUUUUUCAUCAAACCGCACUUUCCGCAAGUUCCCGCAUUUUUCCGCAUUUUUUGCAAGUUCCCGCAAUUUCAUUGCAUAAAAUUGCAUAAAUAUGCCUCAUAUUUCAUCGCAUUUUUUCAGAAAACGUGCCGCAUAAUCAAGGAUUUUUGGCCGCAUAAAUCACAAAAAAACGCCGCAUUUUUCUGCAGGGACUCAUCAAUAAAAAUGCAUUUUAUUGAUGGGCACCUUUCAGGCCACUUAAUCACCAUACAUGUAUAAUUAAUCAAAGUAUCAUCAGCGAGAGGUCUGACCGAUCGCAGUU
This is a long non-coding RNA of Gadus morhua (Atlantic cod), 1787 nucleotides long. Lineage: Eukaryota; Metazoa; Chordata; Actinopteri; Gadiformes; Gadidae. The record is from Ensembl.